RNAcentral lists this small nuclear RNA (78 nucleotides) under Neogale vison (American mink). RNAcentral's name for it is "Neovison vison (American mink) U4 spliceosomal RNA (ENSNVIG00000011557.1)". It matches the Rfam family "U4 spliceosomal RNA", at positions 1 to 78 of the family's 138-position model. Rfam says of the family: U4 small nuclear RNA (U4 snRNA) is a component of the major U2-dependent spliceosome. The record is from RNAcentral. Lineage: Eukaryota; Metazoa; Chordata; Mammalia; Carnivora; Mustelidae.
AGCUUUGCGCAGUGGCAGUAUCGUAGCCAAUGAGGUUUAUCCGAGGCGCGAUUAUUGCUAAUUGAAAAAAUGAUAGAA